RNAcentral lists this long non-coding RNA (559 nucleotides) under Apteryx owenii (little spotted kiwi). RNAcentral's name for it is "lncRNA (ENSAOWG00000015263.1)". The record is from RNAcentral. Lineage: Eukaryota; Metazoa; Chordata; Aves; Apterygiformes; Apterygidae.
AAAUGUUCCUACUAGGUAUUUAGUUUUAAAAACAUCAUUAUUUAAAUCCUUAAUUCAUUUUAAGGACAUAAUUCAAUAAAGUUUUCAGGAGUUAUAUCAAAUGUAAACCUACGAAUUUGGUAGAAGUUUAAGUACUUUGUUAAAUCAGGAUUCAAAAGAGAGGUUAAGUUCUUUCUAGUAUAGCAUAGUGUUCACUUCCAGUGAAACAUUUUUAUAGUUUGUUGUACUAUUGGAGAUGUGUGCUUUUCAAGCAAUAAACUGCCAAAUCCUUGCUUUUAUCUCCUGCAGACACCUGACUCCCUAUUGAAAACUGUUGGCCAUGAAUUCUGUGCUGGUGCGAGCGUUAAAGAUAGAGUGUAACAGCAUUCUCCCCACCUUUCAACAUGUUCCAUGUACCAGGAGGCCGACAUUACCAUGUCUCAGGAUGAUCUCUCCGGAGCUGUAUAUUUACCCUUAUGAAAGACCAAGAUUCUCUCACCUAUUUUCUCUGAAAUCAAUAAGAAGACACACAGCCCCGUUUAUACAAGAAGCAGCAAUUCCCAGAGAAAAUAGCGUUUAA